AGUAGUUUCAAAAUAUUUCCUACGUCACACAAGGAUCUAUCUAGGAGAAACCAACAACGAGCAAAGAGAUAAUGCAUCUUCAUACCGUUGAAGAUCGCAUAGCGGAAGCGUUACUAUGAACACGGUCGAUGGAGUCGUACUCGCGGCGAUUCAAAUCGCGGAAGAUCCGAUGUAAACACCGAACGUACGGUGUCUCCACAUUCAACACACCUACAGCCCGGGGACGUACCCUCCUUCUUGAUUCAACAAGGAG
This 253-nucleotide long non-coding RNA is filed under the name Hordeum vulgare. Its description in RNAcentral is "long non-coding RNA (HVUL_LNC017041)". Lineage: Eukaryota; Viridiplantae; Streptophyta; Magnoliopsida; Poales; Poaceae. The record is from RNAcentral.